RNAcentral lists this transfer RNA (66 nucleotides) under Alitta succinea. RNAcentral's name for it is "tRNA-Ser". The record is from RNAcentral. Lineage: Eukaryota; Metazoa; Annelida; Polychaeta; Phyllodocida; Nereididae.
AUUAUGUCGGAUCAGAUAAAAGCUUCUAACUUUAUAUCUGAAAGGUUCAACUCCUUUCAUAAUUUU